This 445-nucleotide ribosomal RNA is filed under the name uncultured Enterobacteriaceae bacterium. RNAcentral's name for it is "bacterial SSU rRNA". It matches the Rfam family "Bacterial small subunit ribosomal RNA", at positions 936 to 1382 of the family's 1533-position model. The record is from RNAcentral. Lineage: Bacteria; Pseudomonadati; Pseudomonadota; Gammaproteobacteria; Enterobacterales; Enterobacteriaceae.
AGCAUGUGUUAAUUCGAUGCAACGCGAAGAACCUUACCUGGUCUUGACAUCCACGGAAGUUUUCAGAGAUGAGAAUGUGCCUUCGGGAACCGUGAGACAGGUGCUGCAUGGCUGUCGUCAGCUCGUGUUGUGAAAUGUUGGGUUAAGUCCCGCAACGAGCGCAACCCUUAUCCUUUGUUGCCAGCGGUCCGGCCGGGAAACUCAAAGGAGACUGCCAGUGAUAAACUGGAGGAAGGUGGGAUGACGUCAAGUCAUCAUGGCCCUUACGACCAGGGCUACACACGUGCUACAAUGGCGCAUACAAAGAGAAGCGACCUCGCGAGAGCAAGCGGACCUCAUAAAGUGCGUCGUAGUCCGGAUUGGAGUCUGCAACUCGACUCCAUGAAGUCGGAAUCGCUAGUAAUCGUGGAUCAGAAUGCCACGGUCGAAUACGUUCCCGGGCCUU